Molecule: long non-coding RNA, 1197 nt
Filed under: Sus scrofa (pig)
Lineage: Eukaryota; Metazoa; Chordata; Mammalia; Artiodactyla; Suidae
Description: lncRNA (ENSSSCG00040023878.1)
Source: RNAcentral
GGCCACACCCUUGACAUACGGAAGUUUCCAGGCUAGGGGUCUAAUUGGAGCUGCAGUUGCCAGUCUAUGCCUCGACCACAGUAACUUGGCAUCUAAGCUGUGUCUGCAAGGUACAUAACAGCUUAUGGGAAUGCCAGAUACCUGACCCACUGAGCAAGGCCAGGGAUUGAACAAACAUUCUCAUGGAUACCAGUCAGAUUUGUUUAUGCUGCACCACAGUGGGAACUACUGAGAAAGAUCAUGUAUAUCCACUGUAGGGUAAACCCUAGAGUUGUCGGAUCUGAGAAUAUUAUUCUUUGGUAAGAGCUCAAGACCUAUUGCAAGUAAAUGCUCUUCAGCCUCUCUCUUUUGGUUUCUUAUAUUGUACAUUGAAUAUGGAUCAGCCAAGAAACUUGUUUUCUAAGACACUGUAAGGAACAGGCUGAUAGAAGAUUCUUUUGAAAAGAUGCUUCUGAAAUAAUUUCAGUAAGGAUAAAGUAUUGCUUUUCUGACAAUCAAAUACCUUUGUCUAGAAGUGUCGCAUCACUCCAUUCAUAUUUCAUUGAUCAAAUAAUGACACAUAAUAUUACAUAAUUUCAACAAGAGCAGCAAAAGGGAAGAUAUGAAAGAAAGGACUCAGAAUAUUGACAGACCAGCACAAAAAUAAAAGUGUAUCUUUAGGAAUGUUUAAUGAUUACAUCCAUCUUUACCAUUACAAAACUUAAGAAGAAUUCAUAGGCAUGACAAGAUAAUUGUGCUUUAGGAACUUCUGAACAUCAAUUGACCAGAGAUAAUGCUAUUUUACAUAGGUCAGGAUUAUAAAGGUAAAGAUUAAAAUCAAAAACUAAUUUAUUUAUACAUUUUCAAUUUAUUUUGACUAGUAAUACAUUCAUAUGUUUAAAAUAUAAAAAUGAGAUUAAAAAGGCAUGCGUUGGUAAGUUUCAUCUUUACUUUGUCCCUUAUUCUUAUAGCUGUCCCCACAGGUAAUCAUUCUACUACUUUUUUUGUGUAACUUUCUAGUAUGUCUGCAAAUACAAGCAAAUAUGUUUACAAAUUUUAUAUUUUAUGACUCUUCCUUUCUCGCACAAAAUGUAUUAUACUAUAUUUAUUCUGUUGCACCUUGCUCUUUUCACUUCACAAUAUAUCCUGGAGGUUUUUCCAUAUCUUAACAUAGGAGACACUUUAUUCCCUUUUAGGGAUGCAUUGUAUGCUAUAGUG